Megalopta genalis is the source of this 1745-nucleotide RNA transcript. RefSeq lists it as uncharacterized. The record is from RefSeq and is a predicted model, not a curated record. Lineage: Eukaryota; Metazoa; Arthropoda; Insecta; Hymenoptera; Halictidae.
GUCCCAGCAACGGCGAAACAAAGAAAAUAAUUCGCGACAGUCCGCAACAUUUCACGACCGUCACCAGCAAAAUUCCAAGUGGCCACGAACUAUCCUGAAGCACACCGAUGCCGUCGGCUCUCGUUGGAUAAGGGCUCAUCCAUCAUCGGGGAAUUGAUGACAGACCACAGGUUUAUGGAAAUCUCGUCGAAAUAUGUCGACGUAAUUGCGCUCGCACCGCCGGCGACCCCACAACUGCGUGAUGAGCAGAGGAUGCUGCGGAAGUUGUGGCCCACCCCCAUGUUGUUCGAUGCCGUGCGCACCACCCCCGUGUCCACCUUGCAUCGUCUGCAGGCCACCCUGUCCACCCCGAUGUCCCCCUAGACCAACGAAAACAGCAGUUUACCUACGGCCUUGUCCGCCUUGUCCACCGUGUUGCCCGCUUCCUUGCCCGCCAAAGGUGGUCGUAACCUGUCAUCCACCGCCGCCCCCCUGUCCCCCACCGCCGGCGUGCGUCACUUACGUUUGUACCAAGAAACUGGUUCCCUGUAUGCCCUGCCCGCCGCCCACGCCCCCGCCGUGCUCGCCGUGUCGACCAGUUUGCAUGCCCCGUCCUCCUUGCUGCUAGCGACCGCGCAUGGGAACAGGCGUUGGUCAACGGCCGCGCAGACGACACGAGCGGAGUCCAACGAGAACGACCGUUGGAUGCGUCCUAUAUCUUCGUGACAAUUCAUAAUUUAGGACCAAACCGAUCAUGACGAGGCACUUCCACGAUUCUGAGAUACCCGGACUCGACCCACGGAUUCGACGAAAUUCCCGAUUUUAUGCUUUUCCUGAUUUCGAAGAUCUACGUCGCGACGAAAAAUAUUUCUAACCUGGAUUCGACUACGACCGAACGCGUCUUAAACCGAAUUUCGAGGAGAUCGACGAUACAUAAUUUCGUCCUAAACGAGACCCCGUGUCGUCGUUUAGAAUUAUUAUCUAAACGAAUGUACGAGCGCCCAACGAGGAGACUAAACCCGGAUCGUCUUACCGGAAUCGACAAAAUCUUAAUCCGCAACGAACCGCGGAAACGAGGGAAAUUGUUAUUCGAUCGAUAUAGGAUGGACGACUAUAUUUUCAGAUUCUGCAUGCUUUCGAACGCUUGAUUCGCGAACGGGAUCGGUUCUCAUCGGUGCCUGGCCGCGGCUCGCGUCUACAAAACCAGUUUAUAUCAAAAUCAGUCUCGCGCGAACACCUCGAUUCGACUCCGGGCUGCCUCGAUUCAUGUUUUUCCCCCUUCUCCCCCAUGAAAAUGUGUACUCCGGCAAGCCGAAGUGACACGAGGUGUUCGGCGAUCCGGAACAGCAAUAGCAGCAGCUCGGCGAACCAAAACAGCCUGAAAUGAACACAGCCCCGAAGAAUCAACGCAUCCAAGCAUAUUCCAUCCAACGAACGUGUCUACGACUGGUCUCAGCGUUUUGUUAAGUUUGCGCGCAAAGAAAGCAGGUACCAUUCCUUUUUUUUUUUUAGUGUGAUUUUUUUAUGAAUCAAGUCACGUAGUCAAGAUUUUGGUACGAUUGCGGCAACGAGACGACUCGACUCUGUCGUAUCGCGUUCGAGACCGACGAAACUGCUGCCGGCGCACCGAGCAAUGAAAAUCCGGCAGCUCUUAGAACAGGAACGAUUCUACGAACAGGCGUGUUUGCGUGCGAGUCUGAGAACAGAUCGGUGUGUGCUUCUUGUAAAAACUAUACACUGAAUAAAAAUUGUAAAAUUCUCGGGGA